UAGGGAAUCUUCGGCAAUGGACGGAAGUCUGACCGAGCAACGCCGCGUGAGUGAAGAAGGUUUUCGGAUCGUAAAGCUCUGUUGUAAGAGAAGAACGAGUGUGAGAGUGGAAAGUUCACACUGUGACGGUAUCUUACCAGAAAGGGACGGCUAACUACGUGCCAGCAGCCGCGGUAAUACGUAGGUCCCGAGCGUUGUCCGGAUUUAUUGGGCGUAAAGCGAGCGCAGGCGGUUAGAUAAGUCUGAAGUUAAAGGCUGUGGCUUAACCAUAGUAGGCUUUGGAAACUGUUUAACUUGAGUGCAAGAGGGGAGAGUGGAAUUCCAUGUGUAGCGGUGAAAUGCGUAGAUAUAUGGAGGAACACCGGUGGCGAAAGCGGCUCUCUGGCUUGUAACUGACGCUGAGGCUCGAAAGCGUGGGGAGCAAACAGGAUUAGAUACCCUGGUAGUCCACGCUGUAAACGAUGAGUGCUAGGUGUUAGACCCUUUCCGGGGUUUAGUGCCGUAGCUAACGCAUUAAGCACUCCGCCUGGGGAGUACGACCGCAAGGUUG
Molecule: ribosomal RNA, 550 nt
Filed under: uncultured bacterium
Lineage: Bacteria
Description: bacterial SSU rRNA
Rfam family: Bacterial small subunit ribosomal RNA
Source: RNAcentral